UACGUAGGGUGCAGGCGUUAAUCGGAAUUACUGGGCGUAAAGCGUGCGCAGGCGGUUUCUUAAGUCAGAUGUGAAAGCCCCGGGCUUAACCUGGGAACUGCGUUUGAAACUGGGAGACUUGAGUGUGGCAGAGGGGGGUGGAAUUCCACGUGUAGCAGUGAAAUGCGUAGAUAUGUGGAGGAACACCAAUGGCGAAGGCAGCCCCCUGGGCCAACACUGACGCUCAUGCACGAAAGCGUGGGGAGCAAACAGG
RNAcentral lists this ribosomal RNA (253 nucleotides) under uncultured bacterium. RNAcentral describes it as "partial 16S ribosomal RNA". It matches the Rfam family "Bacterial small subunit ribosomal RNA", at positions 524 to 776 of the family's 1533-position model. The record is from RNAcentral.